AUUGAACGCUGGCGGAAUGCUUUACACAUGCAAGUCGAACGGCAGCACGGACUUCGGUCUGGUGGCGAGUGGCGAACGGGUGAGUAAUGUAUCGGAACGUGCCCAGUCGUGGGGGAUCACGUAGUGAAAAUUACGCUAAUACCGCAUCCGAUCGAUGGAUGAAAGCGGGGGAUCGCAAGACCUCGCGCGAUUGGCGCGGCCGAUAUCAGAUUAGGUAGUUGGUGGGGUAAAGGCCCACCAAGCCAACGAUCUGUAGCGGGUCUGAGAGGACGACCAGCCACACUGGAACUGAGACACGGUCCAGACUCCUACGGGAGGCAGCAGUGGGGAAUUUUGGACAAUGGGCGAAAGCCUGAUCCAGCCAUUCCGCGUGCAGGAUGAAGGCCCUCGGGUUGUAAACUGCUUUUGUACAGAACGAAAAGGUUUCUACUAAUACUAGGAGCUCAUGACGGUACUGUAAGAAUAAGCACCGGCUAACUACGUGCCAGCCGCCGCCGUAA
RNAcentral lists this ribosomal RNA (500 nucleotides) under uncultured bacterium. RNAcentral's name for it is "partial 16S ribosomal RNA". It matches the Rfam family "Bacterial small subunit ribosomal RNA", at positions 30 to 523 of the family's 1533-position model. The record is from RNAcentral.